Molecule: long non-coding RNA, 1381 nt
Organism: Balaenoptera acutorostrata (minke whale)
Lineage: Eukaryota; Metazoa; Chordata; Mammalia; Artiodactyla; Balaenopteridae
Exons: 4
Source: RefSeq, a predicted model, not a curated record
GAGGCCAUUUGAAUUAAGACUCUCCUUUUAAAAAUGGGUUAAAGAACAAAGUGAGUGAAAACCUAAGCCCCCCCCACCCCCCGGAGGAAGCUCUAGUUCCGGGGCUGCGCGGGCCCCGUUUUUCCGGGGGUUAUCGCACGGGAGUUGGUCGCCCACCGCGUCCGCUGUUGAGGUCGGGCGGCCGCAUCCCGGGGCACCUGGGCCUCUUCGCGGCUCCUGGACUCCACGGCGCAGGUUUCCUCUCGAGCUCGGCUCGGCAAUCCCGGGCCCCUGACCUCUGCAGCCGCGCCGCCCACCGCUUCCUCCCCCGAGGGCGUAAACCCGAAUCCACUCCGGCCUCGGGCCUCGGCCUGCGCCAUGGCCCGCGGACCGCCCGGCUCUGAGGAUUCUGGGCUGGGGAGAGGCGGGCUGAGCUCCCCUCCUGACGCGAUUCCGCACGCAUCUGUUUCGGGACCCUGGCCGUGUCCCGGCCUUAACCUCCUCAGCGUUACAACGGGGAUAAUAAUCCUUGCCGGCUCGCCCGCCAGGUGGUGGCUGGAUAAUAUAUUCCGGUGGAGGAGUGAGGAGGAUUGGCAGAGACUGUCAACUACUCCGCUGGGUGGCCGUUCACAGCCCUCCCAGAUUGGAGGGCGGGGGUAGUUCGCCCCCGGCCUGCGACCUCCCGGAAGAAAGGGGCUCGUGGUUGUUUAGGUUGCGCAGAGCCCGCCACGCUUCCGGCGGGGGCACGUGGCGCCUUUGGGGACCUUCGCCUCACUGUCCCGAGCUCGGCCUGGGGCGGAGCAGCCUUCUGGGCACCCUGUACUCGGUUCUGCGCGGACCCCACCGUCUCGCCGCGGGCAGCAGCCGUAGGAGACUCCGGAACGUCUGGCCAGAUCUGGAGCUGAGCGUCCCCGACUGAACCCAGGCAGAAAGGGAAGCCCUGUAGGUUGUCCUGAUCUGCGGACGCAGUUGAGGCGACCCUGAGUCUCGCAGGAAAACCAGUCCCAGAGAAGACGUUGGCCUCUGUUGGUCAGACCUCCGCGGAGAGUCUCAAAGGAAGAAGUCCCACCAACUCUUCACAAAACUAUAAAACCAUCUAGAAAAGGAAGCGUCCACAUGGAUUGAGGGAAACAGUUGAGAAUUAAAAGAUCAGAAGAGGACCCAAGACAUUGGCUAUGAGGAAGGCGGAUGCUUGUGAGACACGUUUUUAAAGAAGCAAGAAGACUUGCUGGACAAAGCAGAACUCCUGACAUAAUGAAAGACAGUAGAAGAAUCCAGGACUUCUCUCCCUUCCUGUCUUCGUAUCGCUCCUGUGAUAGGAGUGAAACCACCAAUGCGAACCUUGGACCAGGCUUUUCAGCAUGAUGUCCUCAAGGUCCAGCCACAUUGUCGUGAAUGGUGA